GCCUCCGUGGCGCAAUAGGUUAGCGCGUUCGGCUGUUAACCGGAAGGUUGUCGGUUCGAGCCCGACCAGAGGCG
Edhazardia aedis is the source of this 74-nucleotide transfer RNA. It matches the Rfam family "tRNA". Rfam says of the family: Transfer RNA (tRNA) molecules are approximately 80 nucleotides in length. Their secondary structure includes four short double-helical elements and three loops (D, anti-codon, and T loops). The record is from Rfam. Lineage: Eukaryota; Fungi; Microsporidia; Culicosporidae.